This is a long non-coding RNA of Penaeus chinensis, 1275 nucleotides long. RefSeq lists it as uncharacterized. The record is from RefSeq and is a predicted model, not a curated record. The transcript is spliced from 2 exons. NCBI's taxonomy places the organism in Eukaryota, Metazoa, Arthropoda, Malacostraca, Decapoda, Penaeidae.
UUUUCUUUUUCUUUCUUUCUUUUGUUCAGUCCCUUUUUUUUCACUUUAUUUUUUUUACAAAUAUAUUUUUCCUUUCAAAUAGUAAUAUUCAUUCAGAUGUCAUAUGAAUACAUUAUGAGAUGAUGAAUAUUCAUGUAUGAACAUGCAUUGCCUAAAUUCCAAGACAACAUUUUACUAUGCGAGACAGAAAUUAUACUGAUAUCUUCCAGAUUGCAUUUCUUCUAACAUUGUUUACAGUUUAGUUCACGGAAAAAAAAACAAAAAAAACUGUGUAAUAGUUCAUUAGUGUAAUUCUUAUGGCUUUUCCAUUUCAGGAUAAAAUAGGUGGGAUGCAGAACCUUGUUAUAAAGUCCUAAGAGAAAUUAGUACAAAAUGCCCUAAAUCAAUUUACAAUUUCUCUUUUUAAAGCCAACAAGUUCAUUAACAUAGUAUAACAGCACCAUUUUGUAGAUAUAAGAGAUAAUGCACGCAUAAAUGUUAGGGUUUCUUGCUUUGGCAGCAAAGGAAUAAAGGCUAAUGUUUGUAGGCUGAGAUAUGUUUAUGUGUUUUGUUCAGUAUGAAUAUUCAACAAAUAAUUACAUGUACAAUAGCACAGGUAGAUAUUCCAUGUAUUCUAAAGACAAAUUCAUGCUGUAUUUUUUACUUAAUUAUUAAAUUCUUUUCACUUAUGCAUUUAGAUUUAAAUGUCUCUAUUUUUCUUUCAAACCUGGCAGGUUUUGAAGGCUAAUUUAUCCAUCCUGUCUGAAUCAUUUGUGAAGCAGAUUAAAUGAAAGAGAGUAUUUUCUUCAUUAUGUUUUUAUAUGUUCUUCACAAACUCAAACUCGUAAAUAAUACUCGUGAUGAAAAUUUAUGCAUCUGAUGGGUAGAGAAUAAAAUUAACAAAAGGAAUUUACAUAUGUGCCUUGUUUAAAAUACUCUUUUUUUUCCAUAAAAUCUGAACUCUUAUUAACAGGUUCGGUUUGUUACCUGCCAUUAUUAUUGAUUAAAUUCCAACUCUUCAGUAACUCAGGAUAAAUCAAGUAUAUUAUCCCACACAGUCAAUUAAUAAUGCAUUGACACAGAAUAACAGUAACAUCCAUUCAAGAUAUAUUUUGAACAGGUACGUAUAUUUAUAAAUUUUUUCUGUAAUGUAAGUAUAUACUGAAUUUCUUUAGGGUUUUGUGUCCAACCACGGUUAAUAUAGUUUGUGGGGAGUAACUCCUUGGUUUCAUGUUAAACUAAUUGUAAUUUAAGGUGAAAAUCACAAAUUUGAAAUACAUUUGUAAAUGCAGGAAU